UGUGAUACAGGGUUCUCACCGUUGUACAGGGGUCUCACCGUGAUACAGGGUUCUCCGAGUGUUACAGGGUUCUCACCGUGAUACAGGGUUCUCACCGUGUUACAGGGUUCUCCGAGUGUUACAGGUUUCUCACUGUGAUACAGGGUUCUCACUGUGAUACAGGGUUCUCGGAGUGUUACAGGGUUCUCACCGUGUUACAGGGUUCUCCGUGUUUAACAGGGUUCUCGGAGUGUUACAGGGUUCUCACCGUGUUACAGGGUUCUCCGUGUUUAACAGGGUUCUCGGAGUGUUACAGGGUUCUCACCGUGUUACAGGGUUCUCGGAGUGUUGCAGGGUUCUCGGAGUGUUACAGGGUUCUCACCGUGUUGCAGGGUUCUCCGUGUUUAACAGGGUUCUGCGAGUGUGUGUGAGUGUUAUCUGUGUCAUUUUGUGCGGUGUUGAUGUAUAAUCUGAGAUCUUUUUGUUUGUUGUUGGUUUGUAGGAUUUUACGGAGAUUAAACGCAGGUGCAGACAAACUUUCCCCCAAAUCCCCUCAGCGCUGCUGCUUUAGUCGAGAUCACAGCGGCGCUGCGACGCUUCUGAUCUCCGCUCAGGCGUAAACACUCGUCACACUUCAGCACCGCCACCAAGCCUUACACCUGCUGAUCGCCAGCGCUGUGCGCAGCGGUCAUGAGCACGCCCAGCCUCUCCU
Ictalurus punctatus (channel catfish) is the source of this 691-nucleotide long non-coding RNA. NCBI's taxonomy places the organism in Eukaryota, Metazoa, Chordata, Actinopteri, Siluriformes, Ictaluridae. The record is from Ensembl.